UACGUAGGGUGCGAGCGUUGUCCGGAAUUAUUGGGCGUAAAGAGCUCGUAGGCGGCUUGUCGCGUCGGAUGUGAAAGCCCGGGCUUAACUCCGGGUCUGCAUUCGAUACGGGCAGGCUAGAGUGUGGUAGGGGAGAUCGGAAUUCCUGGUGUAGCGGUGAAAUGCGCAGAUAUCAGGAGGAACACCGGUGGCGAAGGCGGAUCUCUGGGCCAUUACUGACGCUGAGGAGCGAAAGCGUGGGGAGCGAACAGG
This 252-nucleotide ribosomal RNA is filed under the name uncultured bacterium. Its description in RNAcentral is "partial 16S ribosomal RNA". It matches the Rfam family "Bacterial small subunit ribosomal RNA", at positions 524 to 776 of the family's 1533-position model. The record is from RNAcentral.